Molecule: long non-coding RNA, 1529 nt
Organism: Cyprinus carpio (common carp)
Lineage: Eukaryota; Metazoa; Chordata; Actinopteri; Cypriniformes; Cyprinidae
Source: RefSeq, a predicted model, not a curated record
CCCCAAAACGCUCCUCGCAGCGCGGUGCUCGGGCCUUAAUAAGUUACAAAUUAGAUAACUGUCAUGAACAAACCAAAUGUAGCAUGUUGUUCGAGUAGUACAUAAACUAGCGCUACAUACAAGUCGAAUAAAGAAGAAAUCAUUGUUUACAUAGGCAAGCAGAUGAGGUCGGAAUAUGAAAGCAAUCCGUUUAAUUGUUCAUUGUUUUCCUUUUAAUGGUUUUCUAUGGGAAACCAAUUAACGUGACAUUUUGCACAUUGUGUUUAUAUUCUGGGUUCAUAUGCUUCCCUGUACAAAAUAUACAUCAUAUAUAAGGUGUUUACUGAAUAUCACCUUUUAAUAUCUAUGUUUUACUACAUUACUACUUAAUGCAAACUGCGUAAAAAUAACUGGCUUCGUUUUGCCCGCCAGGUGGGCGUUCCUAUGCGUGUGUGACGUCACGUGAAAACUAUCAAUUGUCAUGCGAUGACGCGGUUACUGUGACGUCAUCGUAAUGUUAGAACGUUCGGAGCCUUUAAAAGGAGCACCGUGAUCUGCUCAUCUAAAUCCCUUGCCAGACACAGCAGCUGAUACUUGAGUUCUUCUCAGCACUUGUACUUUGUACAAAGAACUUUUUUAAGAAGAAUCUUUUCCAAAGGAUGAUCAAAAUGACAGGGUCACUGUUUGUUAGUGGGUUGCACCAAGAUGUGACUGAAAAACUGCUGCAAGCAAAUUUCCACUCAUUCGGACCCAUCUGUUCUGUGCAAGUGUGCAAAACCAAAAUAACCAACUCAUCAUGACGUUAUUGGGCCAGCCGAUGCACAUCAUGUGGGCUCAACACAUACAUAUUGAGGUCCGAGCAAAGAACAUUGAAAGCCUUGCUUUACAUGACACCUUCUUGAGCACUGGGGAAGUUGUGUCAUGCAGAGUGGUCUGCAGCAGCAACGAAGCACAGGCCGACCCCAUCCAGAGCAAGCCUUGGAAAGCAAGGCUUACGAAUGCUGUGAAAUCAGUUCUGUGCAGCCCAGUAACCUAUAUAGGUAUUGGUAUUGGUAUUUUGGCCUUAGGAUGGAUGAAGGGGUCAAAUGAUGACAUGAUAUACUGUCUAACCUCAUCCUCUCCCUCUACCUGACAAAGACAGACAGAUAAAUAGAUGAAUUCAUUGCAUAAAUAGAUUAAUUAAUUGCAAUUGAUUUUAUUUUGUUGUUAAUAAUUUUGAGUAUUAUGUUUUAAUAUUUAAGUAAUACAUAAUUUUUUGGUAUAAUGACACUGAAACAGUGCCAUAAGAAAUGAAGAAUGAAAAUGAGAAAUAUUUCUUUGGUAACAAGCUGAAAUAAAAUAAGCUUUUUAUAUAUUUUAUUUUAAUUACCAUUUAAGUAACAAAAAUGGUUUUAGUUUUAGUUAACAAUAAUAACCCUGUACUGAAAAGAAAGAAAGAAAAAAAAAAGAUAUGGAGGAUUUGAUGCAUUGAGAACCAUUUUGUAAACUGUAAUUGAAUCAAAUUGUGAGGCAAGUGAAAAUGUACACCUCUAUUGCACAGAAGAAUAGUU